AGAACGAACGCUGGCGGCAGGCCUAACACAUGCAAGUCGAACGAGAUCUUCGGAUCUAGUGGCGCACGGGUGAGUAACGCGUGGGAACCUGUCCUUUGGUACGGAAUAACAUCGGGAAACUGGUGCUAAUACCGUAUAUUCCCUGAGGGGGAAAGAUUUAUCGCCAAAGGAGGGGCCCGCGUAGGAUUAGCUAGUUGGUGAGGUAACGGCUCACCAAGGCGACGAUCCUUAGCUGGUCUGAGAGGAUGAUCAGCCACACUGGGACUGAGACACGGCCCAGACUCCUACGGGAGGCAGCAGUGGGGAAUAUUGGACAAUGGGGGAAACCCUGAUCCAGCCAUGCCGCGUGUGUGAUGAAGGCCUUCGGGUUGUAAAGCACUUUCACACGUGACGAUGAUGACGGUAACGUGAGAAGAGCCCGGCUAACUUCGCGCCAGCAGCCGC
Molecule: ribosomal RNA, 444 nt
Filed under: uncultured bacterium
Lineage: Bacteria
Description: SSU rRNA
Rfam family: Bacterial small subunit ribosomal RNA
Source: RNAcentral